This 441-nucleotide ribosomal RNA is filed under the name uncultured bacterium. RNAcentral describes it as "partial 16S ribosomal RNA". It matches the Rfam family "Bacterial small subunit ribosomal RNA", at positions 338 to 795 of the family's 1533-position model. The record is from RNAcentral.
CCUACGGGGUGCAGCAGUCGGGAAUAUUGCGCAAUGGAGGAAACUCUGACGCAGUGACGCCGCGUGCAGGAAGAAGGUUUUCGGAUUGUAAACUGCUUUUGAUAGAGAAGAAAAAAGACAGUAGCUGUAGUAUAAGCUCCGACUAACUGCGUGCCCGCAGCCGCGGUACUACGCCGGGAGCACGCGUUAUCCGGAUUUAUUGGGUGUAAAGGGUGCGUAGACGGAAAAGCAAGUUAGUGGUGAAAUCCCUCGGCUUAACUGAGGAACUGCAACUAAAACUACUUCCCUUGAGUAGUGGAGAGGAAAGGGGAAUGCCUAGUGUAGCGGUGAAAUGCGUAGAUAGUAGGAGGAACACCAGUGGCGAAGGCGACUUUCUGGACAGUAACUGACGUUGAGGCACGAAAGUGUGGGGAGCAAACAGGAUUAGAUACCCGGGUAGGC